GACGAACGCUGGCGGCGUGCUUCAUACAUGCAAGUCGAGCGGAAAGGCCCUUCGGGGUACUCGAGCGGCGAACGGGUGAGUAACACGUGAGCAAUCUGCCUUCAGCUCUGGGAUAACACGUGGAAACAUGUGCUAAUACCGGAUAUGACCCUUUUCCGCAUGGUUUGGGGUGGAAAGUUUUUUCGGCUGGAGAUGAGCUCGCGGCCUAUCAGCUUGUUGGUGGGGUGAUGGCCUACCAAGGCGACGACGGGUAGCCGGCCUGAGAGGGCGACCGGCCACACUGGGACUGAGACACGGCCCAGACUCCUACGGGAGGCAGCAGUAGGGAAUAUUGCGCAAUGGGCGAAAGCCUGACGCAGCAACGCCGCGUGGAGGAUGGAGGCCUUCGGGUCGUAAACUCCUUUCAGCAGGGACGAAGCGUGAGUGACGGUACCUGCAGAAGAAGCACCGGCUAACUACGUGCCAGCCGCCGCCGUAACAC
Molecule: ribosomal RNA, 481 nt
Filed under: uncultured bacterium
Lineage: Bacteria
Description: bacterial SSU rRNA
Rfam family: Bacterial small subunit ribosomal RNA
Source: RNAcentral